Molecule: transfer RNA, 76 nt
Filed under: Staphylococcus aureus
Lineage: Bacteria; Bacillati; Bacillota; Bacilli; Caryophanales; Staphylococcaceae
Description: tRNA-Thr
Rfam family: tRNA
About the family: Transfer RNA (tRNA) molecules are approximately 80 nucleotides in length. Their secondary structure includes four short double-helical elements and three loops (D, anti-codon, and T loops).
Source: RNAcentral
GCCGGCCUAGCGCAAUUGGUAGAGCAACUGACUUGUAAUCAGUAGGUUGGGGGUUCAAGUCCUCUGGCCGGCACCA